Molecule: long non-coding RNA, 24476 nt
Filed under: Setaria italica (foxtail millet)
Lineage: Eukaryota; Viridiplantae; Streptophyta; Magnoliopsida; Poales; Poaceae
Description: long non-coding RNA (SITA_LNC002779)
Source: RNAcentral
UGUUUGGGAGGAGGGAGCUAAAUUUUAGCCCUGUCACAUCGGAUGUUCGGAUGUUAAUUAGGAGGACUAAACAUAAGCUAAUUACAAAACUAAUUACAGAACCCCUAUGCUAAAUCGCGAGACGAAUCUAUUAAGCCUAAUUAAUCCAUCAUUAGUGAAUGGUUACUGUAGCAUCACAUUGUCAAAUCAUAGACUAAUUAGGCUUAAUAGAUUCGUCUCGCGAUUUAGCCUAGGGGUUGUGUAAUUAGUUUUGUAAUUAGUCUAGAUUUAAUACUCCUAAUUAGUGUCCAAACAUUCGAUGUGACGGGGGCUAAAAUUUAGCCCCCUCCUCCCAAACACCCCCUUAAAGUCUUGUAGUGCUUAGGAAGACUAACCAGUUGCGUAGAAGAUGAAAACGCACUCCACUAGACACAUGAAUGGUUAAACAAAUGGCAGACAUAUGAACAGGCAGCUAAAGAAAUUUAAGAGGCUUGUGGCAUGCACGGGACGGGCAAAUUGCAGCUUGCUAGUGCUAGUGCUUCAAUGUUGAUACUACGAUCGAGCUGGUUUGUACUCCCUCCAUUUCAAUUUAUAAAUUAUUUGAUAUUUUUUAAAUUCUGUGUACAUGUUUAGAUAUAUAUUAAAAAGUUAUAAAUCUAUUAAUUAAAAAAUGACCUGUAAGACGUAGAGGGCAAUACACUGUUAAUAUAUUAAUAUAGGAGUAGUCGUACUAUUCAACCACGAACACCUAGCUAGGCGUUCUACUUUGAACGAACCCAUAAAACUCGUGACGACCGAAGAAAUUAAACUAACAAAUAAUCAUAAGCGAGUGAUGAAACAGCAAGCAGCUUGUGUUGCUUCUCACCGAAGAUGGUGUUGGUGGGGUUCGAGGCGGCCUGGUUCACGGCCGCGUCGCCGACGAGCUUCUCGGCGCCCUUGAACGCCACACAGGACGGCGUGAGGCGGUUGCCCUGGUCGUUGGCGAUGACCUCGCUGCGGUCGUGCCGCCACACGGCCACGCACGAGUACGUCGUCCCCAGGUCGAUGCCGAUCGCCGGCCCGUCCACUUUGGAGGACCCCAUCGUCUCCACCGUCGAAGGCACGCAGGCGUGGGUGCAUCUGAGAAUAUAUAAAUAGUAUGUACGGACGGAUGCGCCGGCCCUAGGGCACAAGCGUUUCUCUCCACGGUGUUUUCUUCGUGGGCUUGAUUGGUGAGCCGGAUUUUUCUUAGGCCCAUGCAAAAAGAAGAAGAUCGGUCCGGCCCGGUGCAGUACGUUAGAGGUGAACUUUCUAAUUUGACUCAAAAUGUACGGUCGGUCCUUAAAUUCGUCUCGCUGUGUCACUUAGAUCCUCGUGCUUUCCAAUAUUUAUCUGGCUCUCUAAAUUUGGGCUCGAGUGUCAUUUAGGUCAAAUGCAGAUAUAGUCCCCUAAACUUGGUUUCGGGUGUGAGGGCCAUAUACUCUCUAAAAGCAUUAUCAUCUUAAUUAAAUUGAUAAAAACUUUACAUAGAUAUAAGAGUAAAAUGCACCGGAGGUCCAUCAACUUGUAAGGAGGUGUCACUUAGGUCCACAAACUUCGAAAGUGCAUUUUUAGAUCCAUAAAUUUGUUAAGUCGUUCACCGUAGGUCCGUACCCCUUCUAGCGCUGACUAGGCAUCUUCUCUCUCAUCCCUCUCAUCUUCCUAUCUCUCUUCCUCUCUCUCUUCCUCUAGCAUUUCAUGUAACAUGUCGACGGCGGUGGCGGCAUGGAGCUCUUCAUCUGCUUCACCUCCGUCGAUGAAGAGCUCCAUGCCACUGCUGCCGACAUGUUCGAUGAAAUGCUGGAGGGAGAGAGGAGGAUGAGAGGGAUGGGAGAAGAUGCCCAGUCAGUGUGCCAUGUCAACACUAGAUGCUCAUGUGGAGGGGUAUGGAUCUAGGGUGAAUGACUUAACAAGUUUAUGAACCUAAAAAUGCACUUUCAGAGUUCGUGGACCUAAGUGACAGCUUCUUACAAGUUGAUGAUGGACCUCUGGUGCAUUUUACUCUAGAUAUAAUUUAAUUGUAGUCAAAUAAAGUGAAUUUUACCUCAACAUGUAUGGAGAAUAUUGAUGUGGUGAACCCAGAAAGAUUGAUGAUCUUUUACUUUGAAGGGAAUAUCUUAAUUUACUAGGUGCGCAUUACACGCUGUUGACGCCGGAUUUUGACGUGUAUGGAAUCGGCGUCAAGGAGGAAAGGAUUGGCCGAUGCGGCAGGUUAAAAGGUCACGAUUGGGAAUUGGCCGAUUAGUGCUACAGUUGGAGAUCGGCCGAUUAGCGCUACAGUAUUCCGAUGGAUAGAGUUGGUAGAGAUCGGCCGAUUGAAAGGCUGGACCAGUUGGGCCAAUAUGGGCUUAAAGUGGAUCAGAAAGAGAAGACGAAGGGGGAUUGGCCCGCAGGAGUGCAAUAACCAACUCCGAUACGAGUUGUACUUGUAAAUAUUCGUUUUCGUUUAAAAUUAGAGAUAGAUCCUAGUCGGUUAGGAAAGUGGUUGUAACAGGCUAUAAAUAGCCAUCUUUAGAGAUCUGUAAACAACAUAUCAAUCAAUACAACAAUCUACUAUUUCCUUGUACUUUACUUUCAAGUCGGCGACUUCGCCAAUAUUUUUCUUCUUUCACGAGUUCGUACGGGUUGGCAGGGCUGCAUCGAUACGAUCUCCGGCCGAUUCUGUAAGUUCCGUUUAUCGAGUAAUAUCUAAGCUUUAACUUUGGGCGCAUCACUGUCGUUUCGUUUAGAUUUAUUUACCAGGUAUCGAUAUUUACUAGAAUUCUAGGUUUUACCUGUUGUUCUAGUUUUAUCACCAGUUAUCCAGCUUAAGAUUAGAACUGUCGGCUUGAUUAUCGUUAUUUUCAUCCAUUAUCUUCACAUAGCCGAUUAGAUCUAUUUCAAGUGUUGCUCCUGUAGCAUUAUCUAGCUUACUCUAGUAGUUUUCUUUAUAAUCGAUGCGUGGUUGUCGACUGUAUCAUAGCCGAUUAUCUUUUUAUAGCAAAUCGGCCGAUUCGCUGAUACGCUUCCUCGAGAUCGGAAUCUUAGCCGAUCGCAACCCCUAUAAUUUGACACGUUUCUUCCUUGCCAAUCAACAGGUCAGAUUGGCUGGCACGCCGCGCGAACUGCACCAGGGCGAUCACCCGAACAGGAGCUAAGCAGAUUCUCCCGGGUCGUGUGUCCGACGCUGAGAGUCAAUCGGCUGAUUUUUAGCGCCAACACACGCAUACUCUGUUAUUCUUGAAAGAUUGUUCAAGUUUAAAUAACUCGUUGCACUUACUAAACUAAAAUCAGGAGCUUAUAAGAUAAUUGAUUGAUCAAAUAUUGGGAGAAGGGGCAAUAAAACAAGUCUGGAAAUGUGCUAAUGAAAGUAAUGGCUUAUCAUGUUCUAUUAGUAGGAUGACACUGCAUUUCAAGAGUUUAGGAACCUAUAUGACACCUGAAGCCAAAUUUAACGAGUAAGAUAUGCAUUUGAGAGUACGGGGACCUAAAUGACACCCGAGCUCAAAUUUAGGGAGUCAUAUAUGCAUUGUAAGAGUACAGUGACCUAAGUGAUACAGCGAAACAAGUUUAAGGAUCGGUUAUGCACCUUGCUCUUCGUUUUUAUACAUAUAUAAACCUUAAUGGUAUUUUGAAUUUAUAUUUAGUUCUAGAUAUCCACAGUAGUAUUCAUUUGGUUAAUUGUUUGGUGAAGACAAUAUGAUAUCUUAUCGGGUAAACUCCUAAUUGCAUUUUAAUUCUAGGAUCCAAACACGGUAAGUGUUGACUCAUUUUUAGCUAACUAGAUCCAACUAAAAAUUAGCUUUAGACCAUCCAUACAGGAUCUUAGUUUGGUGCCGUGCAAAAUGGUUUGUGCACGAACCAACGAACUACCCGUGUACCUGAGCAGCGCGUGAUGAGUGCGACGGCCGCGUGACGUCGUCGGGACCACGUACGGGCUGCCACUCCACCCGGCAUUGCAACGCGACACCGCUGCCGGAGCAAGCCAGUUCCGGAGAUCCCGGCCCUGCCCGGUGGACAUGCCGGUACGGCACCUCACUCUUCUCCUCGACCUCGUUCCCUCUUGCUCCGAGCCCCCGUACCGUACCGAUCGCACGAACCCGCCGUUCUAGCAGAAAGGCAGCAGUGUCCUGGCGCUCCCAUUCAGUCGUGGCGGGCGGCUACUAGUACUACCACAAAAUGUACCCCGUGCGCCAAAUUUUUUGCAGGAGCAUGGAGCCUGCACCGAGCCGAUGCCCCGCGCCUCUAGCGGGGGAGCAGAGCAGGGGCGGUUCGACACUUGUCGCGCACCGAGAGAUCUGCCGAGCCCUGCAUUCGCUCCCAAGGUUCAGUGCAUCGAGUUCAUUGUACUUGCGAGGUCGCGUGUCAACGUGCGUGUUCGGUGGUCUGAAAGACUUGAAGCACAAGCACUGAACUUACCCUCUCACAAGAGCAGAGUUCCGCGGACCGGAUGCAGAGCACGGUUCAACUGUCCAAGUCAAAUGCAGAGCUCCCGGACACCGCAGGGAGCAAGUAACCUUAGUUUAAGGGAGCGUUUUCUUCCCGUGUCUUAUUUUUAGCACGUGUCACAUCGAAUGUUUAGAUACUAAUUAGGAGUAGUAAACGUAGACUAUUUACAAAACCAAUUACAUAAGUGGAAUCUAAACGGCGAGACGAAUCUAUUAAGUCUAAUUAAGCCUAAUUAAUCCAUCAUUAGCAAAUAUUUACUGUAGCAACACAUUGUCAAAUCAUGGACUAAUUAGGCUUAAUAGAUUCGUCUCGCCGUUUAGAUUCGUCUUAUGUAAUGGGUUUUGUAAAUAGUCUACGUUUAAUACUUCUAAUUAGUAUCUUAACAUUCGAUGUGACGGGUGCUAAAGUUUAGCAAGUGGAAGAAAACAGGCUCUAACUCGCAGGUUACGUGCAUCCGAAACCUGAAUGGACGCAACGCGCUAGCAGCAUGUUUUUACUAAUGUGAGCCGGAAAUCCACACCUAGGUCUGGAUAACGAGCCAACUCGGCUCGGUCCAGCUCGUUAAGGAUGAGUUCGGCUCGUCCACGCCAUGUUUCCCGUCGCCGUCCGGCAGCGCCGAGAGAUCUCGUCGCGUCGUGUCUGCCCGCCGGCCGGACAGUGGUCGGCACACGCAAACCGUUUCCGUCCGUCCACCCAAGAAAACGCAGUACGGCUCCCGCGGCACGCGGGCAGCAGCAGCAGCAUCAGACACCACUCACCUUUUCUUGUAGCGGAGCCUGCCGUAACGCCCAAAUCUUUUUUGACAUCCGGGUAAUCUUGUCCCCCUACGAUCCCAGGAUAAACAUUACAUGCCCCGAUCGAGACUAGUACUCUAUCUACGAGUGACGUGUCCGUCCAGUGUGCACGCAACUGAAGGAGUAAAAAAAAUUAAUUUUACUUUCCUCACCUAUUUACUUUAUCCACUUAAUCUUUUAAAUAAAAUUUAGAUAUCACUUUACUCAUCCCAAACUAUUUCAUUUGGUUCAAUCUAUCUCCUACCGAAGGUAGAUUGGACGAAAUGAUUGGAUCAAAUGAAAUAGUUUAAGGGAGGAGAGUACGCGAGACGAAAAAAUUACGGACACACGGUCGUUGGGCACUGAAAGCCUGCAGGGAAAAUUUACUGCGGUGUGCUACGUAGGGGUAAGGCCUUGUUUACUUCCCAACUUGGGAGUGGCAAAAUUAGUACUUUGCCAUAAAUGCGCAACUGUAGCGUUUCGUUUGUAUUUGUGAAUUAUUGUCCAAAUAUUGACUAAUUAGGCUCAAAAGAUUCAUCUCGCAAAGUACAACAAAACUGUGCAAUUAGUUUUUGAUUUCAUCUACAUUUAGUACUUCAUGCAUGUACCGCAAGUUUGAUGUGAUGGGGAAUCUUCUUUUUGCAUAGUGUCAAAGUUGGGAGUUGGGAAGAAACUAAACAUGGCCUAAAACGGAGCCGGCAGCGGGUGCGCCGAGGCAUGGGGAAGCGUGGUGCACAUGCGUGGACUGCAGAUCGCGAUGCGGACAUGCAUGCAGUGUAUGGGCAAGUGACACUGGAGUGGGUGAGUGCAGAGCCCCACAGGAGCAAGGGAGCAGCAGCAGUUGUUGUUGGCUCUACGCCUGACUUGGUGGCGUGCCGGGGGACCGCCUGGAGGAGAGGUGGCCAUCGGAAUCCCAGCGGUAAAGUCCCGAGAAACAGCCGCGCCCCACAUGCCUCUUGAGUCUUGCCUGCCCUUCUUCGUCACAGUUGUGUCUAGGAAAAACUUAGGGCCUGUUUUCUUCCGCUUGCUAAACUUUAGCACCUGUCACAUCGAAUGUUUAGAUACUAAUUAGGAGAUGUAUGAAUUGUGUACUUUUGUUACGUUGUGCGUCAGAAGUUUCACAUGGGUGGAGUCAAAGGCAUCUGUCUGACCCUUAUCAGUGUUUCAGGCUGUGUCACGAGCAAUCAAUAGUUUNNNNNNNNNNNNNNNNNNNNNNNNNNNNNNNNNNNNNNNNNNNNNNNNNNNNNNNNNNNNNNNNNNNNNNNNNNNNNNNNNNNNNNNNNNNNNNNNNNNNNNNNNNNNNNNNNNNNNNNNNNNNNNNNNNNNNNNNNNNNNNNNNNNNNNNNNNNNNNNNNNNNNNNNNNNNNNNNNNNNNNNNNNNNNNNNNNNNNNNNNNNNNNNNNNNNNNNNNNNNNNNNNNNNNNNNNNNNNNNNNNNNNNNNNNNNNNNNNNNNNNNNNNNNNNNNNNNNNNNNNNNNNNNNNNNNNNNNNNNNNNNNNNNNNNNNNNNNNNNNNNNNNNNNNNNNNNNNNNNNNNNNNNNNNNNNNNNNNNNNNNNNNNNNNNNNNNNNNNNNNNNNNNNNNNNNNNNNNNNNNNNNNNNNNNNNNNNNNNNNNNNNNNNNNNNNNNNNNNNNNNNNNNNNNNNNNNNNNNNNNNNNNNNNNNNNNNNNNNNNNNNNNNNNNNNNNNNNNNNNNNNNNNNNNNNNNNNNNNNNNNNNNNNNNNNNNNNNNNNNNNNNNNNNNNNNNNNNNNNNNNNNNNNNNNNNNNNNNNNNNNNNNNNNNNNNNNNNNNNNNNNNNNNNNNNNNNNNNNNNNNNNNNNNNNNNNNNNNNNNNNNNNNNNNNNNNNNNNNNNNNNNNNNNNNNNNNNNNNNNNNNNNNNNNNNNNNNNNNNNNNNNNNNNNNNNNNNNNNNNNNNNNNNNNNNNNNNNNNNNNNNNNNNNNNNNNNNNNNNNNNNNNNNNNNNNNNNNNNNNNNNNNNNNNNNNNNNNNNNNNNNNNNNNNNNNNNNNNNNNNNNNNNNNNNNNNNNNNNNNNNNNNNNNNNNNNNNNNNNNNNNNNNNNNAACCCAUGCCAGACUGGCAAAUAAUGGGACAGUCGUCGACGUAAAGAGUUUGGUAAUCCAUUGAGUACUCACAGCAUGCAGAUUCAGUCUGACGUAGAAGGAUUCGCACGUGUCACUUCCGAUGAAUUGCAGAUAAGUAGUGUUCUUAUAAGUUAGUGUUCAAAGAGUCCAGUACUCAGGUCGGAUCUACGCGGCGAGACGAAUUUAAUAAGCUUAUUAGUCCAUGAUUUGACAAUGUGUUGCUACAGUAAAUAUUUGCUAAUGAUGGAUUAAUUAGGCUUAAUUAGGCUUAAUAGAUUCGUCUCGCCGUUUAGAUUCCACUUAUGUAAUUGGUUUUGUAAAUAGUCUACGUUUACUACUCCUAAUUAGUAUCUAAACAUUCGAUGUGACACGUGCUAAAAAUAAGACACGGGAAGAAAACGCCCCCUUAAAUUUGUUCUUGGUAUGCCACACUCUUUGGUCUACAAAUGUCGGAUGGAUUCUGAGUACUAGCAGCAGUUCGGUUUUUUUUUUCUUAUCAGCAUUGAAAAAAGAGAUUUCCAAUUUCUUUACUCAAAUUCGUUGGACAAGGAAAGAGUGAUGUGCGUGAUCAUGGAUGUCAGGGAGUAAAGCGGGAGCAACAAUCAUAUGCCACUGGUGAUAAACGAGAACCAUCACCCAGAAAUCUUACCAGCCACCGCACCAUGCAAGCAGGCUCUUGCCGGACCCGCCGCGCGCGUGCGCAAGGGCCACUACCACUGCCCCACGCUCGCUCGGCAAAGCCACCAGCGCCGGUGCCCACUCCACACGACCCCACGGCACGGCACGGCACAUCUCCCCCGGCACCCGCGCACCAGGCCACCAGCCAUGCGCCCAUGCCGUGUCGCGCAACGCCAAAACCACGCGGCCACGCCCACCCCCGCCCGGGGCCCGGGGGUGCCCGCGCGCGCGGGGGUCCGGCACGGCAGCGACCGUGUCGGUCGCGCGUCGAGAGCUCGACCGCUCGAGGCUUGCCCGCGCUGCCGCGCCGCGCGGCGGCAGGCGGACAGCGCGCCCGCGGCCGGGUCCCCCGGGCACCCGACACCCUGUCGGCCCCUUGUUUAUUCCCCCGGCCCCGGAUCUGCCCCCACUGGCCACUGCCGGCUGCCUGCGCCGCCGCCCAGAUCCACCGAUCCGCGCACCCGCAUGUAUAAAUACGAGCGCGCACCGCCGCGCUUCCAUCCCUGCUCUGUUCAUGGUCGAUCGAGAGUCUAGCUAGCGAGGCCUUGGUUCUUGGUAGUGUGUGUUUUCCAGUCUGUCUCAAACUAGCUGCCUGCUGCAUUAUCGUAUCCUCCAAAGGGGUUGCUAGCUGUGAUCACGGCGCGUAUGCGCGCGCGCGGCUAGCGUGGAGCUGAAGGGGAGGUGAAGCGAUGGAGCUGGAGCUCGGGCUCGCGCCGCCGAACCCGCACGGCCUCCUCGGCGGUGGCUGCGGGAAGAGGGUGUUCGGCGGGGCCGAGAAGGCCACGCUCCCGCUCUUCGUGCGCGAUGGGGGCGGCGGCGGCGACGACGGCAACCGCGACGUCCUCGACCAUGAACCGAGCAACAAGUGAGUGGCUGAAUUCAAUCUACGCACACCACUGCAAGCCGCCGCCACCGCCGUGUUGGUUGCUCGAUCGUCCAUGCAUGUCAAGCAAGCACGGUUUCUUUACGCUGAUGGCUGAAACGCAUGCGCGCCGUGUACCUGCAGGAGGAAGAGGCUCGUGGGGUGGCCGCCGGUGAAGUGCGCGCACCGGCGAAGCUGCGGCGGCGGGGCCGGGUACGUGAAGGUGAAGAUGGAAGGGGUGGCCAUCGGGCGGAAGGUGGACGUGUCCCUCCACGCCUCGUACGAGGAGCUGCUCCGCACGCUCGCCCGCAUGUUCCCGUCCGCCGCCAACAAAGGUGCCGAGGAGGAGAGGGAGGUGGCCCAGCACGAGCGCCGCCGUGGCCACCCCUACGCGGUGACCUACGAGGACGGCGAGGGAGACUGGCUGCUCGUCGGAGACGUGCCAUGGGAGUAAGUCGUUGCAUUGCCAGACAAUCGCUUGUCGUCUCCGUACAUAUACAGCAUAUGCAUAAGACCAGUUCACCAGCACUGUUAAACUAACAGCAAUAAUGGUAAUUUUGAUUUGCUGCAGGGCCUUUGCGAAGUCGGUGAAGCGGCUCAAGAUCCUCGCGUAGCUGACGGCACACGUACGCCAGCAGCUACGUGUGCCGUGUGUGUCUCAUAAUAUGGCUUGGCUAGCUCACUCUCAAUAAUGAUAGUAUUGUCCUCUCUGUGCAUCAGACCAGUGCGUGUAUUUUUGCUCGUCUCGGUGGGUUCAGACUUGAGAGCAUGACGAGAGCAUACAGCUUGCUAUAGCUACUAUAGUCUACCACUACGCACUAGCUGUUAGCGAUCUUAUCUCGUCACGCUGCACCGAGUUGUUCGUGUAAUCUCGUGUCAAAGGUUUCGUCUGCGUCCAGUCCAAAAUAGCCAGCCACUCGGUCCUCGUUGUGACGACCGUAUACGUGUACGGUCGUCGUCUGUGGCCGGCCGGGUUAGGGUCGUCUAGUUAAGCCUGUUCACGUACUGCUAGUAGUGUUUGAGGUUUCAAUCCCAUUGGGUCUCCUUGCUGGUUUUCAAAUGCAUGGGUUAAACGUGUCGCAACUAACACUGUGUAAUGUAUUCUUCCCUCUUGCUGAUUGCUGGUAUUCUUCCCUCUUGAGUAUUACCCAAGUAGGAAAGGACCUUCGGUAUCGGUUCCAAACCCCCUUUAGUACCGGUUGUGCAACCGAUAUUGCUACUCCGGUACUAAAUACUAAAGGGGGCCUUUAGUGCUGGAUCAAAUAACUGGUAGGUAUUAAAAAUUAAAAAAAAAAUUCCGCCGCCCUUCAGCCCGGCUCCUGCCACCCUCCCGCUGCUCCUUGCCCAACCCCGCUACCCUCCCGCCGCCGUCAGCCUCGGAGCAAAAAAAACAAAAUACAUGUGCCCCGUCGUCGUACCGUCGCGCCCCGCCGCCUCCGGCUGGCCGUCACUCCCCUGCGCGCUGCUUCACCCACGCGCGUCGCCAAGCACCUCCGCACGCCCCGCACCUCACCCCGCCACCCAAGCACUACCCUGCACCUCGCCCUGCUGCCGCUCCUUACUGCUAGUGAGGGGCGAGCAAAGGGGGAGGGGGCGAGGGCAGCAACGGGAGAGGAGGAGAGAGAGGGACGGGAGGGGGAGGGGGAGCGGAUAAGGAGGCGGGGAGAGAGAGAGAGAGAGAGAGAGAGAGAGAGAGAGAGAGAGAGAGAGGAUAGAGAUAGUAGAUAGGGGGGCGGUGGAGAUCUAAAGGAUAAGGUUGGGAGCUCCAACUGGUACUAAAGGUAACCCAUUAGUAUCAGGUGGAGCCUCCUCACCCGGUACUAAUGUGUGACCUUAGUACCGGUUGGAGCUCCCAAUCGGUACUAAAGGGGUCACGGAGGGCUCCUAGGGAACUAACCGUUAGACCCGGUACUAAUGUGCAUUAGUACCGGGUCAAAAACUAACCGAUACUAGAGGUAGGACCAAUGCUCAGUUUUUAAAUAGUGCCAGGACUUUUAUCCAUGAUGGUACUUUAAUAGGACGGUGCAGCAGGUACUGAGUGAGCUUGUUUGCUUUCUCUGGAUCAUGAAUAGAUCGACGUGAAACUCAACAUUUUCAACUAUUUGAAUUUCUAAACAAAAGUAGUAGUGGCGUAUAAAAAUGAACUAGCAUAUUGACUCAUAGUCACAGACGACUAAACGCUCGUCUAUUUACUAUUGUCAUCAGAAAGAACAUGGCUUGCGGAUGAAGUCAGUUGCUGCUGGAAACGGCAGACACCGACACGCAUAUGAUCGACACAUCUACCGUCAUCAGCGCAGCUUGGCGAUGAAGUCAGUACUAAUUAAUUAACGUCAGCCUGCACAGCUGGGGGCAUCCGUGCGUGGACAGCUCAGGUUGAGGCUGCCUUUGGUUUCCCUUUAUAAUCAGGACUAAAGUUUAGUCCCUUCCUAUUUGGUUCUACUGACUAAACGGUAUUAAAUGAGUUGUACAAUGACCAACUUAUCCCUAAUUAUUGCUGCCUCUACCUUUUUCCUUCUCCCACUCCAUGGCCGAGCCGCCUCCUCCUCCUCCUCGCCAGGAACCUCACGGGCGCCGGUGGCACCAGCCUCCGCGCGGCGUGGUCCCCCUCCUCCUCCCCCACCGCCACCGCGUGCUACGCCUAGGACAGCGUGUCCUACGACACCGACGGUCGUGUCGUGUUCCUACGCCUCCCCGCACGUGGCCUCGCGGGGGCCCUCCCGGCGGGUAGGAGUGGUGGCGGGCGGGUGGCGGGGGUGGCGGGGCCUGGCGGCGGGGUGGGGGCUGGGAAGGGUGGCGGCAGUAGGCGGGUGAUCGGGGCCGGCGGGGGCCAGGGAGGGCGGGGGCAGCGGAGCAGCGGAGUGGGUGGGGUGAGGGGGACAUGGACAGGUCAUAAAUAAGGGCGGGGUGUCCAGGGUACACUUUAGCCCCCAUAAGCAACCUCUUGGUGGCUCAUGGACUAAAGUUUAGUCCCCAUAAUCAAGUCUAUUUAGAGAUUUAGGAAAUAAAAAGGAUUAAACUUUAGUUUCUAAGCAAGGUGAAUCUGAACACAGCCUGAACCUCGCUCGCCCGCCGUUCACACGGGGACGGGAUCGAUCUGUUCGUUGCCGAAAUAUUGCUGCAAGUAUCGACUGUAUGCUCACUGGGAAUGUAGAGUGGUAUGUCAUGGUUCAUUUGAUCAGCGCCUCCUCAUUUUACGGAGAAUGCGAGUCAAUUUGUCCAAAUCGUGAGUAAAAGGAAGACGUUAAGACUUGAAGAGUCAUCGGAGUAAUAGUCCAUGGGAUCCAAAUUCUUGUUAGAGCAAUCUCUGUGGAGGUUUCAUCUUAUCAACCAGUAAAAAUACUUAUUCGCCGCGUGUACAAUGAUAUGCUCCUUAAUAAGUGACAAGUAUGUUCACCGCCCUACCCAUUUUUUUGGGAUUUACCCCACAGUUGCCAAACGAUCUCACUUGCUUUGAUCAUAUUUGGUUGCUUGCAAAAUUUGCCACUUGUGCCAUUGUUUCUUAGGCAUGUACUACAACAGUGGCUCGCCAAACUUUCGAUUUAGUCUCCGCUUUACAUGCAUGUGGUAGAGUCAUUUCUUGCCAAAAUUGUUUGCCGAUUUGUUUGUAUUAUCUUUUGAUUAUUAUGCAUACCAAAGUUUUAGUUACAUAUAUGGCUACCAAGCAAAGAGACACCCUGUCUCCCUCCGUGGCAAGCCAUUUUUGCUAGAGCCGCAAGACAUGGAAGAAUGAAGCGUAGACAGAGGAAGACAGCCAUGCCGGCAAAGCACAAAAGCGUUGAACAACUAAUCAACCCCUGAUCAUGUCGCGACAGAACAGACCCAGUCAUCCAGAGCUGGUCCAGGUCCGCGAGGAGUUGGCGAGUUGCCCCGCCAAGUUGCAGAGCCCGAGGGCAGGUUGAUCAGCUCGACACCACCCAGCCCACCUGCAGGUGUCCAAUCCGCGGAGACGAUGCAGCCGCACGGCACCAGGCAGCGCCGGCGUGCACGACCAGACACCGCUCCUCUCGCCCGCCACAUGCAGCCGCUUCCGCUUGCGUCGCCGCCGUCGCCGCCGACUCCACUCAGGACAGCGAUCCGUGUUCCGACCUGUUUCGGUAAAGGCCGCCGUAUCGCCAUCCUCGCUCAGAACCAGCCAGCGAUUCAGAGAACUAGCGGUUCGAUCUGCCGUGACGCAACGAGACACAACGCAGGGCACUAAAAAGACGAAAACUUCACCGCACAUCGGGGUAGAAACAAGUCAAAACAACUGGCCGGCGUGCGCGGUUUAAUUUAGCAUGCGAUCGUUGGCCGGCGGCCGGACACCUCGACCCAGAGAGAGCCGAGCCACCCACUGCUCCCCAAUCAAGCGCCUCGAGUUUUUUUUAUACCAAACAUAUACCUGUAUUAAAAGUUAAGGAUACCGUACAAAGACUCAUACAGAUACUGGUACAUACGAGAAGCUAUUUCGACCUAUUGACACAGAGGCCCCUAAAGAAAAUAAAAAUUGCAAAUAAGAUCCUGGAACCUCUGCCGCCGGAGAGGGAGGGAGCUGGCGGAAUCGCCGCCGGACACUCCACUUGCCUCCGAUUCGCCCUUUUCUCCCUGUCUCUACUGUAGCAAGGGGAAUGGAGAAGAAGCUGACCCCACCACUUGAGUGGGUCCGCCUGCACUGGGCCAUGCCAUGCCGCCGUCGGUGAGGUUCAGAUAAUCCGGAACCGACACGGCCUAGAAUAUUGCCCGUACCAUGAUCCGAUGCCGAUCCAUGCAGGCAAGUACAUGCACGGAGACUAAACAAAAGCAGUUUAUGUCCUGCUGGGACGCCAGAAAAUCUGACCGCCGUUGGACCUCUACUCUUUGACCUUUGGUGCCCUGGUGUUGGUGGGUAGAAACUGUAGGAAAAGUCAGAGGCCUGCACCCUGUACUGCACGGACCGAGCCGGUCAAACAACUCUGUCCUGGCCGGCGCCCGGGCUCAUCGACGAGUGGUCCGUGUCCGGGAGGAAAUCCAGUGGCGACGCGGCACCCACCCGCUCCGUUCCAAAGCUUCCGAGGAUUUUGUUUUCCGGCCUGGCGUAGGGAGCUGAUGCCUCAUGCGGUGAUGCCGACCCAGCCGGAUCCUCGAGAUCGUAGGCGAGAACGCGGUCGUUUUCCGGGGUCGUUGCCGUCCAUACUCGCUUUGAUUGGUACCGCCACAGCUGUCCAAUCGGAAUGUUCUUCCACACACAGUGCACUCGAUCGAAAGCUGGUAGUAGAGGUGUUUGGAUAUUCUCGCUAAACUUUAGCACCCAUUACAUCGGAUAUUUGAUACUAAUUAUAAUUAUUAAACAUAGUCUAAUUACAAAACUAAUUGCACAGAUGUAGUCUAAUUCGUGAGAUGAAUCUAUUAAACCUAAUUAGCUCAUGAUUUGACAAUGUGGUGCUACAGUAACCAUUUGCUAAUGAUGAAUUAAUUAGCCUUAAUAGAUUUGUCUCGCGAAUUAGAUUCCAUCUGUGCAACUAGUUUUGUAAUUAACUCAUGUUUAGUUCUCCUAAUUAGCAUCCGAACACCUGAUGUGAUCCUGCUAAAGUUUAGCACCUCGUAUCAAACACCCUAGACAGGCAGAUAUUUGCCACGGCCCGUUUGUGCUCAACAUGGUAGUGGUGUAAUCACCAAUCAGCCAUGUUCACUGUUCACCGCCGGUGGUGUGAGAGAAACAUUCUGAAAGGAACGUGCAUGUGUCGUGUGUGUGGAGGUUAAAGCAGCAGCAUCUGCCGUGACUGAAAGGUGCCUCGGCAGUUUUUGUGCCGCCACCGUGGACCAGGCGCCGUACCUGGUGUCCUGGUCUUCGCGCGCCGCGCAGACAGGGAGAGCCCCCACGAAUCUUCCCGUCCAGGCUCCUGGGCGGCGCGCGGCGGCUCUCGAGCGCCGUAAUCAAUUGCCGACACGCGCGUCAUUGGCCAGCGCCGACGAGCGGACGAGGAGACCCCCAUGUACGAUGGCGUGGCGUCGUCGUCGUCCACGGCUCGCGCCAUCCCCACGGCCGAACCCGAACCGAACCGGCCGGCCCACCCCACCCCGUCCCACGUCCCACCGCCACCGCCUAUCGCUUUCCGCGAGACGGGCAGGGCAGGCACGGCAACGGCAGGCCCCCCGUGUCCGCCGCCCGUCCCGUCCACCGCGCCGGCCAGGUCGCCAAUCCCCGCGCGGCACCGCAACGUGCGCCCGUCGACGUCAGCCAGCCCAACGCCGUCGCCCCUGGCUGUGGCUGGUGGGUGUGGCUGCCUCCUCAUCCUUUGCCGCCACCGCCGGCAGGUGACACGAGGAGGGCCACUCCCGGCGUGGGGCCGAGGCGUGAUAAGAGAUGCUAAUUGCUAAAGCUGGUUUGUGCAAAUCAUUGCUGCUUCUUUCAGCCAAACACAUAUGGCCCGGUAUGGCACCGGCAGCAUGCAGAGAUUCACUCGGGAGCGUCGCAAAGGCCUGGUUUGGAACACGUGAAUUUUAUCCCCCCAUUUUAAGAUCAAAUUAUUUGUAAUUUGAAAGUCCUUCGCGAAAUUCGAACGUUCCGAACAGGUCAGAGAUUCGAUCGCAACACCUGCCAAUUUCCAAAUUCAAAUAGCACUUCCACUUCGAAGAGUAAACUAUCCGUAACCUGAAAAAUUCCCGCGAAAUUCCAACGUUCCAAACAGGUCCGAGAUUCAGUCGCGAUUGCAACAACACCUGUCGGUUUCCAAAUUCAAACUCUACUGCCAGUUCAAGAGCAAGGUAUUCAUAAUUUAAUUCAAACUCUACUGCCAGUUCAAGAGCAAGGUAUUCAUAAUUUGAAAAUUCCCACGAAAAUCCAACGUUCAAACAGGCCCGAGGUUCGGAUCACAACAGCUGUUGGUUUCCACUUCCAAAUUCAAAUGGCACCAUGGAAUCAGAAACACGAAACAAGCAAAAGAUUCAUGAAGCUCUUGUCGAUCUUGCUUGCCGGGUAUCUUUUUUUUUUCUUUACACACAUCUUUAUGUGAAGGGGAGAGGAGGUACAUAGCCGUCUUUUGCUUAGCUACAUGCCCGCACACACUGACACGCACCGGCCGGUCUGUCUCCUGCUACUUGCUCGAGCCGUCGCCGUCCGUCGCCGUCGCCUCCGGCCCAAACAGCACCCAGGUCGCGCACGACCCUAGGCUCCUCCUGCCUACUACUUCCCGCCCUGACGGGUGACGGCGACGUCGCGGCUCCAUUAUUGGCCACCUCCGAGCUCAUCCGCAUUCCACCGAACACCUUGCGUUGCGUCCGCCCACGCCCAUCCGUUUUGGCCUGGCGCUACCUCCGGUUGCUUGCUUACUGCUACUACUGACUGGCUAGCUAGCUAGCUACUCCUCUGGUGAGUAGUUGUUGCCUAAGGACUAGAGACUAGUAGAUGGAGGAGGAGGAGGAGGAGGAGAGAAGACAAAAUCAGCGCGCUUUACUCGUCGUCGGAGGUGUCCGGGGUGGGCUCCCGGUUGAGGUCGGGGUUCUUGGCGCGGCGGCGGUGGGAGUGGGUCGACAGCGGCGGUGGCGGAGGAGCGCCGCCGCCGAGGCCGACGCCGCAGUGGAGCGCGUCGACGCGGGCGCCGACCUCGGCGGCCUUCUUCCGGAUGGCGGCGGCGGUGAGCCCCGCGCCACCGCCGCCGCCGUCCUUGUGGCCCUCGGGGCGGUCGGCCACCGCGGCUCCGUCGAGCUGGUCGGGGAAGUUGAGCCGCGCGGAGCGGCCGCGGAGGUAGAACACGGCGGUGUCGUAGGCCCGCGCCGCCGCGACGGCGGUGGAGUAGGACCCGAGCCAGAUCCGCGACCGCUUGUUUGGCUCCCGGAUCUCCGCCACCCACUUGCCCCACUUCCGCAUCCGCACGCCGCGGUACUGCCUCCCUCCAACGCCUCCGCCGCGCGCGUGCCCUCCGACACCCCCGCCCGCUGCACCGGUGCCCGCCGCCACCGUCGCCGCGGCCGGCCCCGCGGCGGGGGCGGCCGGCGCCGGCUGGGGCGGCGGGUAGAAGGCUGUGGCUUCCCUCUCCAUCCCCCGAUUCGGCAGCAGCUCGCUGUCGCAGUGGCCGCCGCCGUGUGGGGCGCUCGCUCGCUCGCUGCUCCUUCUACUGGUCUCUCUCCCCUCUGACCUCCCCCCCCUCCCUCUCUCUUCUCCUGCGCCUAUGAGCGGUGGGGUCUAUAGGGGAUUAGGCCUGCGGCCAGGUGGGGAUUAGCGUGGGGGCGUGUGAGUUGGUGGGAGGGCGAUUAGGGCGUGCCGCCGUGCCGGCCGGGGAUUUUUCGCGGGGGCGAGUCGGUGCGCGCUCCUGUGUGGCGGUGUGGCGAGAGGCGACAGGGACGGCCGGCGCGGGGCUUGUGAGUGUGACCAUGAGCUUAUCGCCAGGGAUGUUUAGCGGGAGUAAACUACUCGAUCGUUAGGUUUGGGUGUGACGGGUGCGGUCAUUAGUGCGCCCGAAAUAAUUGGUGGUCGGCGGCGCGCACUCGAAUGGAAACGGAUGCCCUCUCUGUGUCUAUCUCUAUCUCUAUCGGAGUGAUGAGUUGCGAGACGACGCGUAUGAUUUCUUUCGCCGUGUACUUGUAUGUCCAUUGAUGUAACGUAGAUACCCUCCCUCCCUCUCUUUCUCUGUCAAAGUGAACUGGCCUGGCCUGGCUGCGAGAGGCACGUACGCUCGCUCGCCCAGUUCUGAACGCCGCAAAAAAGGUAGCUACGAGGACGGCGGCGGCGGCGGCGGCGGCGGCUGCAGUCCCAGUCCGUCCAGCGGCGACGGCAACGCGGCGUGCACCGAAUCUGGCAUGGCAUGGCCGGGCCCCCCCCGGCCGCCGCCGCUGGCUGGUGGCGCAACGGGUCCUGGAGACUGGAGUCUCCUCGCUUAAUCGCGUCGCGCCUAAGCGAGCGACGCGAUCAAUCAGUCGUCUAGCCCACACCCCUCGCGCGACCCCCACGACUGCGACCGUCUUAGCGCGAGGCCGAGCCAGGCCGCCGACGAGCCGGUGCGCCGUGCGUCUCCCGUGCCAGCAGCACCACGUGUCGCGCCGCCAGGGGCGACAGGCAACGGAUGGACGGACGGACCGUAUGGACCGGGAGCAGGCGUGCAGGUAGGGGCGAGGCCGAAACGGUGCCGCGGCGACCGACGAGGACGGGACAGCUAGCGCGCGCCGACAUGCGCGGGAGGGCGGCGGCCACGUGGCGGGCGCCGCGGCCGGCGACGCGGACAGCCGAGCGAAGUGGUGGUGUGGAGACUGGAGGGAGAACGGUGGGGGGAGGAGGAGAGAGGCCGGGGGCACGGGGCGUCCCCGUGCGCCCGUGUCGCGUAGCGCGGGCCCCGCCCCCGGACUGACAAGGCGGGUGGGGGCGACCGCGACGCCGUUGUUAUCCGCUUCGGUCCGGGAUGCCGAUGCCACCGCUGCCGCCCCGCGCGCAGGGGCCCGCCUGCCAUGCCCCUGCCGCCGUGGCGCCGGCCCUUGGAUUUCUUCUCUUUCUCCUCGUCAACGCGGCCGGGGCGGCGGGCGGUUUGGGAUUUUGUCUGGCGCGCGGCCUUGAGCGGCCGGAGUUGGCCGGUGGCCGGCGGGCGGCCGGGGUCAUGCUCUGCACUACACCGCUUGGCCAGUGCAGUGCACACUGCACAGGGGGCCUGCUCGGGGAAUGCGGCGAGUAGGACGGGGAGGAUGGAUGCAUCGAGCGACUGGGGUGUCACCGUCAGUGUGUGUGACGCUGGCCAGUGAAGCUGUGAAGGCCAUUCACCGGUUUGGCCGUUUGCUACUGGGGCUUCGUGUCGGUGAACGGGGGCUGUGCUUCCUGACGGUUCCUUCCUCCGCCCAGGUGUUCGGUGGCAGCGUGGACAGCGGAUGACGGAACCACGUUCGUGGCACUGAGGCAGGUCUCUAGUAUAGUAGUACUGGUACGUGAUUUCUUUUCUUUCGACCGGCAUGGUUUUUUUUUUUUACUUUCUGGUGUUUCCCAAGGAGAAAGACGGUGCGAAGUUGUUGCAAACAGAUUACUAGAUUAUGCCAGGAAAAGUUAGGACAGAAAAGUCGUCAUCAGUUAUAUAAGGAGAACAUCACAUGGAUGCCAAGAAAACAGCAAACAAAGUAGAUUCUCUUCAGCUUAAAUUCGUAAGGUCUGUUUGGAUAGACCGUUCUAAAGAUUAGGAGUCCAUUUUUAGGACUUGUGCAUCCAAACAUGGGUUCUAAAAGUGCACUUCUAAUGGCCUGUUUGGAUACACCCUCAUAAAUUUUAGGACACUCAUAAAGUUUAGGAGCUAGAAAUUGAUAGUUCUAAAAUUUAUGAGUGGGCUGUUUGGAUGGAAUCAUAAUCUUUAGGAUGUUAGAGGGGAAAUGACUUUUGUACCCCUAAUUACUCCACCCCUGCUCCGUUUCUAGCGCGGUGGAGAGAGAAGGGGAGGGGCAACAGGGGUAAAGGAUGGGUUGGGGACCACUUUUAGGAGAAAAAUGACUCAUUAUGAUGGUUUGGUCCUCCUAAUGAAAACAACUCCUAAACAUUAUGAAUGCACUUUUAUGACAUACGUUUGGAUGCACAAGUCCUAAAAGUGAACUAAAAGUGAAGUCCUAAAGAUUAUGAGUGUGUAUCCAAACAGGCCCUAAAUAAGAGGGCCAUUUUCAUUAGGAGGGUCAAGGGGUACUAAUGGAUCCUAUUUCUCCUAAAAGUGAUCCCCAAGUCCCUCUUUACCCCUAUUGCCCUCGCAUGCAUUAAUGACGUGAACAAUGCAGGGUAGUUUAGAGGAGUAAUUGAGGGGUAAAAAUGAUAUUUUCCUUCUAAGAUCCUAAAGAUUAAUAGUCCAUCCAAAUAGCCCUGUACUAAAGUUUAGGACUCUCAACUUUAAGACUUGAGAGUCCUAAACUUUAGUACACUACUAAACUUUAGGAGCUUGUAUCCAAACAGGACCUUAAUCACUAAUCACUAAGUACAGCCACAUAAGUGCAUUUGCAGCCAUGCACUUUUUUAUGGUAUGUAUCCAUCAGGUUUUCAAUGAGUUUGUGAAAAGCAAUCAUCCUUUGCAGCAGAUGCCAGACGCCAGUACGCCACCCACCGAACUGAACUUCAUGGGCCCAUGCGUUCUUCAUGAUCGAACAUCCGCUGCCACCCACUGACCCACUCAACUCAAACAGAAAGUCAAACAGCUUAUGGUUGGGGAAGUUCCAGAUCGAGUAUCUUGUAUCUUUCCCGUAUCACGGCCUUGGAUCUCCCAAUCCAGUCAUCCCUGAAUCACGUUGUUGUCCCAAAGUUGCAGCAUGAGUACCAGGGAUGGCUAAUCUUCGUCAGAUUUGGAUGUUGCGUGUCAUGGGGCGUCGGACAAGGGCCGAUGGGUCCAUUAAAAGAGAUAGAACUAGUAAGAUCAGAUCGGAUCGUUAGGGUAAGAUAAGAUUACAUUAUGAUGUUAGGCUCGUUGGUUAGGUUCAGCCGGCUCAGUAUCAACAGAGGCACGGCAGUCAUUUGGGAAUCAAUCAAGAAAAGGGAAAGAAACUCCCCUCUCCAACUCCAACCUUAGUCUCCCUCUGAGCCGACUCAGUCCGGCCGGUGUUUACCCUAACGAUCAUAGGAUCAUAACAUUGCAACCUCUCAAAAGCUCGCUCAAGAAACACACAGGAUGCAGAUAAACAAAUCCUCCCUCUUUAACGGGACUUUGUAGCCUGAAGAAAUGUAUCUCUUGUACAACAUUUUAACAUCACAAGAGUAACUCCAGCAGACCCUCCAAAUAGCCUGCUAUUCUAAGCUUAGAGAGUCUAAGUCAAAAAAAAAAUACACUUCAGCGGACCCUCUACUCUGCUCCCUAUUUAGGGAGGCCUUCAAAUUUUCCCCUCGACCCUCCAUUCAUUAGGGGUCUCUAGGGAACCCUCUAUCCAUACAAACUAUUGCUGGAGUUGGAGACACUUUCAUGGUUUUUAAAAAAAUUGAGAGAACCUCAUUUAAUUUUUGGAAGCUUUGAUUUGUGCUAUCACUGGAGUUGCUCUAAGAGAGUACAGGACAAAAUGUCAAUACGCUGAACCUAUUUUAUAACUGGAGUACCUUUUGGAAACAGGCUCCAGCCCCUUCUUGUAUUGAAAGCCAAAAUAAGAAGAAAAAAAAGUGGAUAUAAGUCUGAAAAUACAGACGACUGGUUUGCAGCCAAUUGCUCUUCAGUACUCUGCAGGGGAAAAAAUUGUUGGGAAAGAAAGGCUUGCAAAGAGAUGGACUGCAGUUUAUGGGUUUUCAGAUCCUUGCCCCCAUUGUUCUUUGGCCUGUUCGCUUCAGCUUAUAAGCCGGCUGAAAAGCUGAAACGACUGAUUUGUUGUGAGAGGAAAACACUGUUUGGUGGCUGAUAAGCCGAAGCGAACUUAAGCUUCAAAAUUCAGUUUUUUGUAAGCAUGGAUCCUGAAGUUAGCACUUAGCAGGCGCAUAAAACAGAGGCAUCAGACUUUCUGUUAAUUACUCGCAUAUAACACAGAGGGAAGCCGCUCUGUCUCAUAUCCACAGUUUCCAUUCUAGCACUGCCCUAAUGAACUAAAAGCAUGGAUUCUCACAAUCACAUGAUCAUUUUCUAUAACGAAACUGGGAAAAUGUGUUCAGCUUUCAAAAUUUUUGGUGGUGAAUGAACUUAUACACAGAGAAAUCAAUAGUUGGAUACUCUCCAACCUCCAUGCUCUUUUGUUCAGAAGGAAAUAAUUGAGCAUGGUUCCUGGCGAUCUCUUUGAAUAGCAUGGGCUUCAAUUGCCAAAAUUAACAAAUAGCAGGAGAUAAUGUUGUUUCUAAAAUAAGUGUUUGGAGAAAAAAAAAAGAGCAGAUACAAUGCUGGCAUGACAAUUAUGAUGGUUAGCAUCUACAAAAUUUGGAGCAUAUGCAACAAUGCUAAUAGAGGUGAGAAGUAACGAGAAGAAAGUCUGGGGAAAGUCCCAAGCCCUUGAAAGUUGAAAGCACUGAAGUGCCAACAGAACAGAAACCACCUGCAAGUAACGAGAAGAAAGUCUGGGGAAAGUCCCAAGCCCUUGAAAGUUGAAAGCACUGAAGUGCCAACAGAACAGAAACCACCUGAACAGGUAAAAGUUUCAAGGAACAAUGGCUGAAUUAUUUGACAAAAUAGUAGAUCCUCGAAAAGAAGAGCUCCACUCUUAAGUAGAAUAGCAGUGAGCGAAGCAAUCAUGCAUCAGUAUGGCAUAUGGGAAGUUAGUUCUUCACAUUUGGAUGCUUUUUCGCCAACACAGUCUGGAUGCAUCUCCUUGGCUAGGAACAAUUCACCAUCCCACCUCAAAUUCAAACAACUAGCUUUAAGUCCAUUGCGUUUAAGAUGUGCAUAGCACGUUUUUCAUUAAGAAGAAAAGUUUGAACAUGUACAACCAUGAUACACGACCACGCAAAAACGGAAAAAAAAACUCGCUCAGGGAUGUAAACCACAAACUGAAAAAGAAACACCACCACCUAAGGUAUUCUAAGGCGCAUCAACAAGUGGAGUCCUUGGACUGGUGGGAAGCAGUGGCCAAGGCAGUUCCAAAGGACCACUGGCGGGCUUUCAACGGUGUUUGCAUCUACAUCAUGUGGAAUCUUUGGAAGGAACGGAAUAGGAGGAUUUUUUAAAACGAGGCUCAGCCACCACUCCAUGUUGCGCAACGCGUCAAGGAGGAUCUAGAACAGAGAAGGGGAGCCUUUGGAGGGCAUAUCUCUUAACUUUUGUGGUGUCUUUUCUCCCUUUGUGUUUGACCUGUCAUUCUAGACAAGGGGUUGAGUAGCACCUGGGCGCUGUUGGGGGUUAGCCCCCGUUGCUUUCUUUGUACAUAAACUCAGAAGAGCUCCUGCCAGUUUGCUUCAAAAAAUAAAAAACUUUCAUUCUGAAACCUGAGUGGAAUGCACAGGAAAACAAAUGGACCUUCCAGCAGCAUGCAAGGUGGAGAAAUUUUAUCUGUUCCAAUGACUGCUUGAAAACUUCACACUAGCUUUCUUCAAUUCUACGGACAUACUUGUAAUGAUGUGUAAUCACUAAAGUGAACAAAUUUAGUCUGCCUCCAUGCUCAAAAAUAAAAACCAAAGAGGUGGACUAAUUCAAUUUAGUUGCCAAAUAUCUGUGCCACAGAGAGCACAUAGUGAGUGAAACAAGCUGGUCCAAUAUUCAUGAUCCAGUUAAUUUUCUAGGGAAUACAAUCUAGUUGCUAGUUCUACAAUAGUUUGCUAACUGAUACAUGAUCAAUUGAUCAUUUCAGAUGUACAGAAAACAAAAGAAAUGUAUCCAUCUAAGUGUUUACUGAUUACCUGUUAACACCCAUGUGUUCCUCAAUCCUCACAAGUAACCAUCCUCUUCCUCGUCAUCACUACUCCAAAACAUGCUAUCUCCCUUCAAUUCAAGUCCAAAUAUACCAUCUGUAAUAUCCUCAUCAGCAAAUGCAGAUAUUGCCGCAGCCCCAUGCAAACUGGUUCUCAUUCCAACAAUAUCAUCAACAACAUCGUCCAAGUCACUGGUAUCCCAAUCCAAUCUGAACUCCUCACCCUGCUCAUCUUCCUGAUCUUCUCCGAACUCUGGAAAUGUACAACUCCUCAGCAUCUCCUCAUCAACCUCACCAUUCUCGACACGGUCCCAUGGCAACCAAAUGUCAGCAACCUUGCCAAGCAUGCGGCACCCGUCCCCUACCACCACAGUCCUCAGGUCGGCGGCGCGUGCGUUCCGCACCGUAUCGGUAAAAUCAGAGUCGUCAGAGACCAGCACCAUCCAGUCGACGCCACAGGCCAGACAGUGCUUCACCUGGCGCUUGAGCGCGUGGUCCGCGGCCUGCGGCUUGUCGGAGACGGUGCGGACUUGGACGCCCGCGCGACGGAGCUCGGAGGCGAGCCCGUAUCCGACCUUGGGGGUGAGGAGCUCCCGUGCGGCGUCCUCGUACUUGGUGUUGCCGGUGAUGAACCUCUCGCGGUACUUCUGCCGCUUUUUGCCCUUGAGGGAGCGGAGGCGGGAGAGCUUCUUGUUGCGCUCCCGCUCGUGGAGCUGGCGGAAAUGGCGGGUUAGGUCCGGGCGGGUGGGGAAACGACGGCCGCAGACGGCGCACGAGUAGGGCACGGAAGGGGCGGCGCUCCCCGCGCGCUCAGCGCGGUCCAGGGCGCGGCGGUCGCGGCGCUCGGCGGCGACCCAGGCGGGAAGGUGGGAGAAGGCGUGGCGAUUGGCGAAGGCAGAGAUGGAGACGACGCGGCCCAGGAGGGAGGCGGCGGCGAUGAGGGAAGUCGCCGCCGGGAACGGCGGCCCGCGCGGGGGCUUGUUGUCGAGGUCCCACAGGACUACAACCGUCGGGGACCGCGCCGUCCACACUCCGUCCUGCCCGCGAACCAUCUCGACGUCCACCGAUGCGGACGGGUUCUCUGCUUCGGCCGCCGCCGCAGCCGAGGGGCGUCGGGUGCGGAGGGGGAGGUGGGGGUGGGAUUGUUGGGUGCGGUGGAUCCGGAAGGGAUGGAAAGGGGCGGGGUUGGGCAGGAGGUGGAGGAAGGGAAGGGCAAGCGGCAUGGCGUCGCCGGCGCCGGCGGGAAGAGGCGCGCUCGGGGAGGCAGUGCUCGGAUUUUGCUGGCGAGUGAACUGAUGGAUAGAAAGACUUAGGGGGCGUUUGGGAGGAGGGGGCUAAAUUUUAGCCCCCGUCACAUCGAAUGUUUGGACACUAAUUAGGAGUAUUAAACCUAGACUAAUUACAAAACUAAUUACACAACCCCUAGGCUAAAUCGCGAGACGAANNNNN